UGAGAUGUCCUGUUAAGUCAGGUAACGAGCGAGAUCCCUGCCUNUAGUUGCCACCAUUACUCUCAGGAGUAGUGGGGNGAAUNAGCGGGACCGCCGCAGUUAAUGCGGAGGAAGGAAGGGGCCACGGCAGGUCAGUAUGCCCCGAAACUCUGGGGCCACACGCGGGCUGCAAUGGUAACGACAAUGGGUUUCGAAUCCGAAAGGAUGAGGUAAUCCUCAAACGUUACCACAGUUAUGACUGAGGGCUGCAACUCGCCCUCACGAAUAUGGAAUCCCUAGUAACUGCGUGUCAUUAUCGCGCGGUGAAUACGUCCCUGCUCCUUGCACACACCGCCCGUCGUUUCAUUGAAGUGAGCUCUUAGCGAGGUGACGUCUGAUUGGCGUUAUCGAACUUGGGGUUCGUGACAAGGGAAAAGUCGUAACAAGGUAACC
This 432-nucleotide ribosomal RNA is filed under the name uncultured archaeon. RNAcentral describes it as "bacterial SSU rRNA". It matches the Rfam family "Archaeal small subunit ribosomal RNA", at positions 1017 to 1448 of the family's 1478-position model. The record is from RNAcentral.